AUUUCUUCAAAAUUGUCUUAAAUAUUAUUUCACCCACAAGUACCAAGACGCCUAUCAGGUGCAUUACCAGCAGACCAAUAAAAACCAGACUUCUUCUUGUGAAUCGAAAAUUCCCAAAAAAUCCAUCAUCCACUUCUUGAGAAUACCAGCCGAAUUCAAAUUAUCCACAAUUCGAUUAAAAGGCUCCAACAAAUAGGACUGAGGUCGUGUAUAGGCACAAACUUGAUUCAGCACCACGAUGCCAGAUGAAAGGCUGCAUACAACUUGCCCUGAAAUGAACCAUUAAUAACCAUGAAGGCAAAUGCUAUGAGCAUCACAAAAUAUCGGGUGCUUUGGAAUUGGUAUUGGAUAUUGCGAGAAUUGCCCAAUGCCAAGCCGAGUAUAUCCAACCAGCGUCAAUGCGAAUAUGUAUAAUAACCAGACGCGAGGACCGAAAGGUGCCAACAGCCACUCGCCAUCAAGUUGCCACCUUUUCGUAGUGACCACCACUGUGGGCGUAAGAAAGUACACCGAACUUGAGCCAAA
This is a long non-coding RNA of Musca domestica (house fly), 525 nucleotides long. RefSeq lists it as uncharacterized. The transcript has 4 exons. The record is from RefSeq and is a predicted model, not a curated record. NCBI's taxonomy places the organism in Eukaryota, Metazoa, Arthropoda, Insecta, Diptera, Muscidae.